AUUGAACGCUGGCGGCAGGCCUAACACAUGCAAGUCGAACGAGUCGCGGACGGGUGUGUAAUGUCUGGGACCCUGCUUGAUGGUGGGGGAUAAUAACUGGAACCGGUACCUAAUACCGCAUACCUUCCGAUUGGCACAGAUGGGCUUAGUUAGUAGGUGGGGUAACGGCUCACCUAGGCAACGAUCCCUAGCUGGUUGGAGAGGAUGACCAGCCACACGGGAACGGAGACACGGCCCAGACCCCUACGGGAGGCAGAAGUGGGGAAUAUUGCACAUUGGACGCAGGCCUGACGCAGACCUGCCGCGGGGAGGAAAAAGGCUUGCGGGUUUUAAAGUACUUUCAGCGGGGAGGCGGUACCCGCAGAAGAAGCACCGGCUAACUCCGUGCCAGCCGCCGCGGUAAUAC
Molecule: ribosomal RNA, 406 nt
Filed under: uncultured bacterium
Lineage: Bacteria
Description: partial 16S ribosomal RNA
Rfam family: Bacterial small subunit ribosomal RNA
Source: RNAcentral